CAACUAUGGCAAAGAUACAAAUCUUCUGGAAUUAAGAAAGAGAGACUAGUCAGUGAAGAUUGGGGUUUAGAUGUCUAGUCCCUAGAAAGACCUCUACCUGUACUUUCUUUCUAGGGAAGAAUAAAAGGGAAAUAGUGGUGACAAUAGAAUUUCCCAAUUAGCGGCGCCUUACAGUAGAGGAAACAUGUGCCCCUUUUCCUGCAUAAGGCUUUGGAACAUGGCAAGAUCCAUGAUUCUCCUCUGCCCUAUGUUGGUCUGAGGAAUUGAAUAGAACUGAUUUCAGGUGUCCAAACAGAGAUUAUUGUGUGAGCCUCAUAAAAUUCCUGGAAAGCGGAGGAAUGACUUUUUUUUUUUUGGAACCCAAUUGUAGCACCGAUGUCAGGAAAAGCCUUAGUCAUCCUCAGAGAGCUUGAUGAAGGACCUGAGUGGAAGUUAGCCGUGACAAAGCUUGGAGGCUUUGCUGUUGGGACAAAGACACACAGUAGUACAGACUCUUUGAAGAUGUCAAGUGGCCAGAAGGUGCAGGAUUUCAGACGAGUAGCCACCUGGAUGAGAUACUGA
This 561-nucleotide long non-coding RNA is filed under the name Pan troglodytes (chimpanzee). RNAcentral describes it as "lncRNA (ENSPTRG00000054510.1)". Lineage: Eukaryota; Metazoa; Chordata; Mammalia; Primates; Hominidae. The record is from RNAcentral.